This 391-nucleotide ribosomal RNA is filed under the name uncultured Actinomycetes bacterium. Its description in RNAcentral is "bacterial SSU rRNA". It matches the Rfam family "Bacterial small subunit ribosomal RNA", at positions 370 to 779 of the family's 1533-position model. Lineage: Bacteria; Bacillati; Actinomycetota; Actinomycetes. The record is from RNAcentral.
AAUGGGGGCAACCCUGACGCAGCAACGCCGCGUGUGGGAUGACGGCUUUCGGGUUGUAAACCACUUUCAGUGAUGACGAAAAUGACGGUAAUCACAGAAGAAGGUCCGGCCAACUACGUGCCAGCAGCCGCGGUAACACGUAGGGACCGAGCGUUGUCCGGAUUUAUUGGGCGUAAAGAGCUCGUAGGCGGUUCUGUAAGUCGGAUGUGAAAACUCAGGGCUCAACCCUGAGACGCAUCUGAUACUGCAGGACUAGAGUCCGGUAGAGGAAGAUGGAAUUCCUGGUGUAGCGGUGGAAUGCGCAGAUAUCAGGAGGAACACCAAUGGCGAAGGCAGGCUUCUGGGCCGGUACUGACGCUGAGGAGCGAAAGCAUGGGGAGCAAACAGGAUU